Molecule: long non-coding RNA, 770 nt
Organism: Gigantopelta aegis
Lineage: Eukaryota; Metazoa; Mollusca; Gastropoda; Neomphalida; Peltospiridae
Exons: 4
Source: RefSeq, a predicted model, not a curated record
AAACGAAAAUAACUGCAGUGGCCAUGCCAGAUGGAUGCUGUGAUCUGAAGCCCUGGAUUAAAACUAUAUCCAACCAUCUAUACUGGUGCGGUUCUUCUACACCCAGUGGAGACCAGCAUAUGAUGCUGGCUAAAUGGAAGUCCCUUGGACAUACAAAAUAUUCACACAGGUCAUGGACCAAACUUCCCCAAAUGUAUCCAUGAAAACUUGGAAGAGAAUGCAGCACAUAGAAAGAAGUGGCUUAAACAAGAUUCCAAAAGUUGUGGAAAACGUGUCAAGAUAAUAGAAAACACACGCUUGUGUAAUGACAUCAAACAGCUUAGCCCUCUUCACCAGACUUCAAAUGUGGAGGCCUUCCAUGUGCUUAUAACCCAUGUCUGCCCCAAGAUGACAGCAUUCAGUUACAAAGAAUGAUGUGCAGUUUCCAGACUUUAUCUGACAGCAUUACACUUCAAUGAAAACAGCAAUCGCCCAGCUGCAACAAAAAAAAACCGGACAAAUCGCAUACACAGUGAGUUCCCCAAAUUUAAGAAAGGUGGAUACACAGUGAAAGAAAGAAAAACACCACCAACAUAUGCUAGGGUACAUUGACAAACUGAUGACCAUGCUGUGUGAUGGAGUGAUCUCAAAUCCAUCAGAAUUUUCCUCUAUUCUGGACUCUAUAAACAUUCACAGCUUUUUGUGUUCUAACUUUGAUCGACAAGAUAUGGAAGAAGCCAUAGCUACACACACAGUACAAGGUUUAAUCUACCGGUAGUGCAGGCAUUUAA